This 168-nucleotide unclassified non-coding RNA is filed under the name uncultured fungus. RNAcentral describes it as "sequence contains ITS2". Lineage: Eukaryota; Fungi. The record is from RNAcentral.
CUGCCCUCAAGCACGGCUUGUGUGUUGGGCUCUCGCCCCUCCGUCUCGGGAGGGCGGGCCCGAAAGGCAGCGGCGGCACCGCGUCCGGUCCUCGAGCGUAUGGGGCUUCGUCACCCGCUCUGUAGGCCCGGCCGGCGCCCGCCGGCGAACACCAAUCAAUCUUAACCA